GCGAACGCUGGCGGCAGGCCUAACACAUGCAAGUCGAACGAACCUUUCGGGGUUAGUGGCGGACGGGUGAGUAACACGUGGGAACGUGCCUUUAAGUUCGGAAUAACUCAGGGAAACUUGUGCUAAUACCGAAUGUGCCCUUCGGGGGAAAGAUUUAUCGCCUUUAGAGCGGCCCGCGUCUGAUUAGCUAGUUGGUUGAGGUAAUGGCUCACCAAGGCGACGAUCAGUAGCUGGUCUGAGAGGAUGAUCAGCCACAUUGGGACUGAGACACGGCCCAAACUCCUACGGGAGGCAGCAGUGGGGAAUCUUGCGCAAUGGGCGAAAGCCUGACGCAGCCAUGCCGCGUGAAUGAUGAAGGUCUUAGGAUUGUAAAAUUCUUUCACCGGGGACGAUAAUGACGGUACCCGGAGAAGAAGCCCCGGCUAACUUCGUG
RNAcentral lists this ribosomal RNA (433 nucleotides) under uncultured bacterium. RNAcentral describes it as "partial 16S ribosomal RNA". It matches the Rfam family "Bacterial small subunit ribosomal RNA", at positions 29 to 507 of the family's 1533-position model. The record is from RNAcentral.